Molecule: non-coding RNA, 92 nt
Organism: Mycena rebaudengoi
Lineage: Eukaryota; Fungi; Basidiomycota; Agaricomycetes; Agaricales; Mycenaceae
Source: the annotation of a GenBank genome assembly
GGCCCAGUGGCGGAUGGUCCGCGUCUGCGUAAAUUAGGGCAUACUCGAGUGUGUUCAUGCAGAUACCGCUCGUUCGACUCGAGCCUGGGCCA